Molecule: long non-coding RNA, 1415 nt
Filed under: Capsicum annuum
Lineage: Eukaryota; Viridiplantae; Streptophyta; Magnoliopsida; Solanales; Solanaceae
Description: long non-coding RNA (CANN_LNC020171)
Source: RNAcentral
UUCGUUUUCCCACUGUAAAGCUCUCUUUGGGAAGCAUUGUGAUAAGUGUAAGGCUAAGGCACAAUUUGUAAAUCCCUUUGGUAAGUUACCUGGAAGUAAUGAGUGUGAGGCACAAGGAAGAGGUGAUAAGGUUAUGGUACCUGUAAGAGCUAUCUGCCGAUUGGUGGAGUUAUUAAUCUCGGAUGCCAAAUUGCAAGAUGAUGAGUUUGUUAAAAAGGUCCGAAAAAUUGUGGAUGUGUGGGAGAAUGACUUUGUGAAAAUUGCGACAAAUAUGAAGAUGCUUGGUUUAACGUAAACCUUCAUCCCACAAUUUUUUAUUGUUUUUAUCUUUCAUUUUUUUAUUUGUUGAUUUGAGUAUUUGUUUUCUACAGAGGAGAUGUUUCGUUAUGUACUCUACUUUUUGGUAAGGGUGUCGUGUGCGGUACUUCGUCGUGUCUGGAAUACGAAGGAAAUGGAAACUGUUUGGUGGUAAAACAUGGGAUUUCCACAGAGUUGAUUAGGGAGAAAGACUAUGUCAAGAAGUUUGGAUUCCAAACGAUAAGAAAGUCGAUGUAGCCUUGUUCAUGUUGAUGUUAUAUGAACAUAAGUAAAAUUCUAACUCUUAUCUAUUUUUUUUUAUGAUGAUAACUUCAAAAUUUUCUUUGUUUGGGUAUAUUCCAGAGCUAAAGCUAAAGUUGAAACUGAGAGUGCCAUCGCGCCUGCCUCUUCUAGUGCUCCAAUAGUUACUGAGUAAAACCCUACCCUAAUCCUAGAUUUUUUUUUUUUUUUUUUAUGAUAUAUUUAAAUAUUCAUAAUUUUGAUUUAUUGCAGGGGCUUGGUUGAGAUUGAGAACACUGAUGGCACAACUACCAACACUGUUGAUGGCACAACUACCAAUCCUCUAAAGACCUUGAUGUCAAAUUUAGAAGUAAGCUAGGAAAUGUUCGUGAAGCCGCAAUGGCGAUUGGAGCUGUUUUCACUAUAUGUACAGGUGCAACAAAUACUGUUGCUUGCAUUCAAAAAUGUGUUGAGGAUGCAUCUGCUGCUGAAAUUUAAAAAAAAUAUAGAGAAAACAUUCUUGUUCCCCAUUAUAUCCCAUUUUUUUUAGGUUUUUUGUAAUUUUCAAUGCAGUUCUUUGUUGAAAUGUUAGACGUUCUGGAGUAAUGUGGUUUUUGUUGAAUUGGAUAUGGUAGAAAUGUUGAAAGGAGUAAUGUGGUUUUUGUGGAAUUGAGCAUUAUAAAAAGUCUUGUUUCUGCCUUAUUUUAUUGGGGGCUGAUUGUUUCUGGAGAAUUGGUUAUUUGCUUUCCUUUCUCUGUAAUGACCCAAAUCUUUUUUCAUAAGGGGUAGUGGGAAGAGGGCCACACCCACUCCCUUAUGCUACCAACUUCGGUUGCAGGGUGGAAGAUCAAGACUUUUGGUUAAUUGCUGGUGAGAAG